RNAcentral lists this ribosomal RNA (607 nucleotides) under uncultured bacterium. RNAcentral describes it as "bacterial SSU rRNA". It matches the Rfam family "Bacterial small subunit ribosomal RNA", at positions 202 to 808 of the family's 1533-position model. The record is from RNAcentral.
GAAAGGAGCGAUCCGGACAGGGAUGGGCAUGCGGCGCAUUAGCUGGUCGGCGGGGUAACGGCCCACCGAGGCGACGAUGCGUAGGGGUUCUGAGAGGAAGGCCCCCCACACUGGUACUGAGACACGGACCAGACUCCUACGGGAGGCAGCAGUGAGGAAUAUUGGUCAAUGGGCGGGAGCCUGAACCAGCCAAGCCGCGUGAGGGAAGAAGGUACAGCGUAUCGUAAACCUCUUUUGUCAGGGAACAAAGGCGGGGACUAGUCCCCGGAUGAGGGUACCUGAAGAAAAAGCAUCGGCUAACUCCGUGCCAGCAGCCGCGGUAAUACGGAGGAUGCGAGCGUUAUCCGGAUUUAUUGGGUUUAAAGGGUGCGCAGGCGGCCUGUUAAGUCAGCGGUAAAAGCCCGGGGCUCAACCCCGGCGAGCCGUUGAAACUGGCGGGCUGGAGUUGGAGAGAAGUACGCGGAAUGCGCGGUGUAGCGGUGAAAUGCUUAGAUAUCGCGCAGAACCCCGAUUGCGAAGGCAGCGUACCGGCUCCACACUGACGCUGAGGCACGAAAGCGUGGGUAUCGAACAGGAUUAGAUACCCUGGUAGUCCACGCAGUAAACG